GAUGAAGAACGUAGUGAAACGCGAAAUGUAAUGUGAAUUGCAGAAACCCAGUGAAUCAUCGAAUCUUUGAACGCACCUUGCGCCCCCUGGUAUUCCGGGGGGCAUGCCUGUUUGAGUGUCGCGCACCUCUCAACCCCCGCUCUGCCUUACACGCGGCGCGCGCGGGCUUGGACCGUGGCUGCCUUUGGUCGCUCGCGAGAGCGGCCCAGCCGAAAUGCACACCAAGCGGAUGUCCGUUCCUUUCGGGACUGCGGCUUGACCGAGUGUUGUAGUGUCGUACAAAGCACAUUCGGGACGCGGACUUGCGAAGGCGGCUCUGCGCCGGACCUAGCGAUAACUAUUGUCAUCGACCUCAAAUCAGGCAGGACUACCCGCUGAACUUAAGCAUAUCAAUAAGCGGAGGA
Molecule: unclassified non-coding RNA, 404 nt
Filed under: soil metagenome
Description: partial contains 5.8S ribosomal RNA, internal transcribed spacer 2, and large subunit ribosomal RNA
Rfam family: 5.8S ribosomal RNA (bases 1-121)
Source: RNAcentral